Non-coding RNA from Chiloscyllium plagiosum (whitespotted bambooshark), 1936 nucleotides. The record is from RefSeq and is a predicted model, not a curated record. NCBI's taxonomy places the organism in Eukaryota, Metazoa, Chordata, Chondrichthyes, Orectolobiformes, Hemiscylliidae.
CCCACCAACAACACACACACACACCCACCCCAUGCCCCCAGACCCGUGACUGCCCCUGCUGGCUGGGACAGUCCUUGACCAUCCAACCUUUGCCAUCUGCCCUCCACAUGAGCAGGGCUGGUGACUGUCAGUCAGUGUGGCUCAUAUCCUCACUGUUCACAAUUUUCUCCUUACACUUUGAUGUUUUACUGCAGGGGAGUCGCUGCUUUGACAAGCUGUGGAUUUGGGUCACCCGGCCUGGUGAGGACAGCGAGGAGAUGGGGGAUAACUGCCGGUUACCAGCGCUGACCACACUGGGCAGUGCCACCAUGUACAGCCACAAACAUUCAUUACAGCAAAGUGCUGAGAGCACUGUGCCAACGUGAGAUCAACUCUGGCAAAAAGACACUUCACCCUCCCAGCACCACGUGCCCUCGCUCGCACUUCACAUCUUACAGACUCUGUGUUCUUUUCUGUUUUUAGGUGAAUUGGAUUUUAAUUUCUGGCAGAGACUAAUCCUGUAGGAUUUUAUAUGGUUUUUAAUGAGGAGGUGGGGUGGGAGGGUAGGGAAGAGAUUCGAGGUUCAAGGCCCAAAGCCACCUCUUGUAGUUUGAUACAGUGCUGCAGAUCUCCUCCUGCCUGACCGGCGCAGUGUCGGGGUGUGUGUGGAACUGCAGUUCGAUCCUAGCGCUUCAUAGUGGUGGCAGAUCGUGUGUCUUGGGGUGUAGUUCAUAAACCAGCGUGAGUAAAUCAUUGCAUGGAAAGGGGAUAGUGCCUGCUGGCCCCCUCCUGUGGGCUUGGGCAGGGGAGAGGGUGGGAGGGCAGGGAGGUUAGCAGAUGGGUGGGGGUUCCGGCUGCAUGAGCCUUGGUAAUGAAGCCACAAAGUCCCCGGGAGAAAGAGAGAGGAGGGUCUUACCAGCCAAGGAGACGUGGCUGAUGGAGCACACAGUCAGAGGUUUGACUCAAUCAAGGACUUGCCUCUUGCCCCACCCUUUCAGCACUACUGGGGGAAGGAGCAGCGAUGGACAGACUCAUCACAGCCUGCAGCAGUUGGUGGAUGUGGCUGUUGGUAAGAGAUCACAUUUAACACUAAAGCAUGUCAGGGUCCAGGGAAACUGGGAGACACUACAUUCUAGCCUGCUUGGUUCUGCUGGAAUCAGCCAGAGACUGUGUUCAAUAACUAACCAGCUGAGGGCACGGAGUGUCGCUGGGGGAACAUGGUGUUGUGACUUGCUCCAAACCAGUCUGAGAGAAUUGGAAGGUUGGUCAUGCAGAGGGGUGGGUGUUGUGGGCUGUUCACAAAGUGGGAGCUGCAAUGGGUGAUCCAGGGUCCUCUAUCUGUUAUCGUUCCCUCUCAGUGACCAGGUGUGAGGAAGAGCAGACUGCACACACCCCCCCCCCCCCCCCCCCCCCCCCCCCCCCCCCCCCCCCCCCCCCCCCCGCCCCCCCCCCCCCCCCCCCCCAACCACCACCACCCCUUUCUCAUAGAGAAGUGAUGGAUAAUUGUGUGGCAGUCUGGUUAAUACAUCUCCCAUCUCACCGUCAGCUUUCCAGCAAUAGGAUACAAGUUAUAGUUCUGACUGUCCCCAGAACCUUGUCCCAGACCCACACAAGUUUAGAAUGUGCUGCUAAUGGGGUAGAUUUGGUAUAAAUCAUCUUGGGGCUGAUGUGCGGCAAGUUGUUUUCAGUUGAACUGGCUGGGGUUGAGUGAUCAGGCCAGCUUGAUACAGGUUCUCCACUGGUUUGGCAUCGUAAUUAUGAAACUGGAAAGAUUUGUGUAUGGGAAUCAUUGGUGAUCCCUGGACACAGCAGAGAGCCACAGUCACUACAUGGAACAGGAACAGCUUGCUGCUUCCUCUAGGCUCAUCUCAGACUGGAACUAGUGAAUUUGUACAACCAAAGACGUAUAUUUUGUGCUCCAGGGUUCAUUAAAGUUUACUUUUCAUUUUCGAAAUAA